CUCGCCUUAUCUCGCAAUGAGAAGUUGACAGAAUUUUGCUUAACUCGCCUAAACUCUCCCUAUUUUGCAAUAAAAACCAGCACAGUUUCACGUCAGUAAAACACAAAUACUGUCAAUCAAAAUUCUUUAGACUCACAAUACUCACUUACAUAUUCUAUGAGUUUGGCAUUGCAACUGACAUCAACAUACAAGUUUGUAAGCCUGAUUAUCUGAAAUGUUAUCAUAUUUUUAAUUUACUACAUUCUCUGUAAUGCCAUAAAGCUGUAUUGAUCAAAUAAUUCCACCAACUAC
Paramuricea clavata is the source of this 291-nucleotide non-coding RNA. NCBI's taxonomy places the organism in Eukaryota, Metazoa, Cnidaria, Anthozoa, Malacalcyonacea, Plexauridae. The record is from the annotation of a GenBank genome assembly.